GAUCAUGGCUCAGGAUGAACGCUAGCUACAGGCUUAACACAUGCAAGUCGAGGGGCAGCAUGAAAGUAGCUUGCUACUUUGAUGGCGACCGGCGCACGGGUGCGUAACGCGUAUCCAAUCUACCCAUGGCUCAGGGAUAGCCUUUCGAAAGAAAGAUUAAUACCUGAUGGUUUCGCUUUUUCCGCAUGGUUUGGCGAAUAAAGAUUUAUCGGCGAUGGAUGAGGAUGCGACUGAUUAGGUUGUUGGCGGGGUAACGGCCCACCAAGCCGACGAUCAGUAGGGGUUCUGAGAGGAAGGUCCCCCACAUUGGAACUGAGACACGGUCCAAACUCCUACGGGAGGCAGCAGUGAGGAAUAUUGGUCAAUGGACGAGAGUCUGAACCAGCCAAGUAGCGUAGAAGGAUGACGGCCUAUGGGUUGUAAACUUCUUUGUUUGGGAAUAAAGUGCUCUACGUGUAGAGUUUUGUAUGUACCUUACGAAUAAGCAUCGGCUAAUUCCGUGCCAGCCGCUGC
Molecule: ribosomal RNA, 513 nt
Filed under: uncultured bacterium
Lineage: Bacteria
Description: bacterial SSU rRNA
Rfam family: Bacterial small subunit ribosomal RNA
Source: RNAcentral